AACAUCGUUGGCACCGUCCUCUGGGGGACUUAGCCGCCCGACCCCCACCCGAGCCAAUUCUUUCCCAGCCUGCUGUUCUUUUGCUCUCGCCUCCUCUCUCCUCCCUCCCUUGUCCUUCACCUCCCCCCUCAAAUUCACUCUAUUUGGGAGCUUUUUUCGCCGGAUUUUUUUGGGAAAUCGAAGAGCAAGAAUAUAGGAUGUUUAAGAAGGACAAACAGGGAUACUGUGCCCGUCAGCUGCCACCUCCUGAUGCUCCCCGUCCAAUGUGUUGGUGUGGCGACGAAUGUGUGUUUCAAAGGAGUGAUGAUUGGGACACAUACAACCGCAUAUUUUGGAUGUGUCGGAACUACGCCUAUAGCCCAGAGAAGCCAAAGCCACCGCAGCCAAAACCAAAAGGGAAGAAGGCAAAGGCGAAGAAACAUAUUGAGGAACUGAAGUCGCCCCUCCGUUGUGUGAUUUCUGGAAUGGAUUGAUAAAGAGAUGGAUGAGGGCGACAUUCACAUGGUACAGUCCUGGCAUGAGUGGGAGUGUGAACGCAUGGAGCGUAGGUUGGCGAUGAGGCGACAAGAGAAGCUUGAGAAGGAGAGACGGGAUGAGCUUGAGCUUAGAGCGUUGGCGAGGGAGCGUGAAGAGAAGGAGGCACGUGCGGAGGAGCGUGCUAGGAAGAUUGCGAGAGCGAAGCGAGCCAAGGAGGCUAGGGAAGCAGCCGCAAGCAAGGGGAAGUACCCCCGAUGCACCCAGUAAAUGGUUGCAAGCUAUAGGGAGUGUAACAAGCUCCGGAUGUUUCGUUCCGCAUAAAACUAUGGGUUGCAAUAAUACUACCAUGUAACCCCUCGGUAACGAUUACCGGAGGUUGUUAACAUGAAUUAUCGUAGACUUGUAGUUGAUUCUGUUAUAAUUAUAAGACGAUAUUUGAUGAAAAUUAGCUAUUUAGUAUGUUACUGAUUCAAA
This is a long non-coding RNA of Oryza brachyantha (malo sina), 951 nucleotides long. RefSeq lists it as uncharacterized. The record is from RefSeq and is a predicted model, not a curated record. The transcript has 3 exons. Lineage: Eukaryota; Viridiplantae; Streptophyta; Magnoliopsida; Poales; Poaceae.